Molecule: ribosomal RNA, 253 nt
Filed under: uncultured bacterium
Lineage: Bacteria
Description: partial 16S ribosomal RNA
Rfam family: Bacterial small subunit ribosomal RNA
Source: RNAcentral
UACAGAGGUCUCAAGCGUUGUUCGGAUUCAUUGGGCGUAAAGGGUGCGUAGGUGGCGCCGUAAGUCAGGUGUGAAAUCUCGGGGCUCAACCCCGAAACUGCACUUGAUACUGCGGUGCUCGAGUACUGGAGAGGAGAUUGGAAUUUACGGUGUAGCAGUGAAAUGCGUAGAUAUCGUAAGGAAGACCAGUGGCGAAGGCGGCUCACUGGGGGUUAUCUGACGCUGAGGAACGAAAGCCAGGGGAGCAAACGGG